UCGUUGUAGAGAAUUUAGAAAAUAAGGAUAAACACAGUAAUAACUUAAAAUGGCCUCUAAUCUCACCUGGAGAUACAGUUGUAAGGUUUGAAAUUGAGAAUUACAUGUCCUCUCACAUUGUUCUUCUUUUUCAAGUACGUUUUGGUUUUGAGACCCUCGAAUUCCCAUAUGAAUUGUAGCAGCAGCUAGUCAGUUACUGCAGAGGAGCCCACUGGGUUUGUGAUCGAAACCACGUUGAAUAUAUGGAUCGCUCUGUGGAACACUGACAUUCGAAGAGCGCUGUCAUCUGAUCCAGGAAUGUGCGUGGUGUGUCUGUCCAGGUGCCCUCACCUCCAGUGGCAUCCAUCCAGACACCAGCACUGACACUGGCCGUGCUCAGAACUGCCUCAGCCCUGAAGACACAACUGACAAAUAGAAGGGGGCAGCACCCUGUUACAGCAGGUGCUCUCACUUUGUGGGUCCUUAUGUAACUGCAUGGUUUUAAUCAGGACCGCCCUUUCUACAUUGUGUGGCGCUGCUGCCGUGUCUCCUAGUUAUUGUUUCUGGCCUGCAACAUGAGCAUCCCUGACUACGUGCAGUGUGCUGAGGAAUACGAGACUCUCCCCGUGGUCGUCCAACCCGUGGGGAUCAUUUCAGAGGACAAUUUCUUUUGCAUCUAUAAACCAAUCUCCUUGGUGAGCCAGAUCAGCCCGUGCGGCUCCCAGUGGGCACUCUGUAUCCACUAAAGGCACCACUAUGCGUUCGAGAAUGCAUGGAGUGACUUCCAGACCCACCGCACGGUCGUGGGCCUUGUCACCAUUACCGACUGCCUCUAGGCCAAGGCCUUCGAGAAGCUCCAUGUACAGAGGAGCUGUAUGGCACCACGCUUAAUGACUCUCAGCUCUUUGUCUUUGUGCUGCAUGGGGAGGUAGCCGAGCAGCUGCGCACCAACGUGGCCUUCAAACUACGAGGACUGCAGGGUGGUGGAGAAGAGGAUCGAGGACUUCACUGAGUCACUGUUAAUCUUGCUCAAGUCCAAGUGGCUGGAUGAGACCCUGACAAGUCUGGGGAAAGGAUCCCCCUCUUCUGCACCUUGUUUGAGAAGGAGGACUUCAUGGGACUGGACACAGACAGCAGGGCCCUGUGAUCUACACGUCCGCACCCCCUUCUGCUCCUUGGGGAUGAGGUGGCAGGUUUAGGUGCUUGGGCACUGCUGUGGGCACAGCUGCCAGCACCGGGCUACACCGAGGCUGGCUCCGUUCACCUCACAUGUCACCUCCUGCUGAGCCCCCAGGCGUUAGUCAAGGUCGUGGUCCCAAAGGAGCAAGCAAACACCCAGUUGGUCACCAUGCAGUGCUGCUACAGAGGGAGACCUGCCAAGACCUAAAGGAUAUUAUCAGAGAGGACUUCCUGGAAGAAAUGGGCUCUACAUUCAGUUGUGAAGACAGAAUUGUUUUGGUUACUGAGACCCUCGAAUUCCCAUAUGAAUUAUAACAGCAGAUAAUCAGUUUUUGCAGAGGAGCCCACUGGGAUUGUGAUCAAGACCACAUAGAAUAUACGGAUCACUCUGGGGAGCACUGCCAUUCCAAGAGCACUGUCUUCUGAUCCAGGAAUGUACGUGGCGUGUCUGUCCAGGUGCCCUCUCAUCCAGUGGCAUCCAUCCAGACACCAACACUGACACUGGCCAUCCUCAGAACUGCCUCAGCCCUGAAGACACAAGUGACAAAUAGAAGGGGGCCGCGCCCUGUUACAGCAGGUGCUCUCACUUUGUGGGUCCUUAUGUAACUGCGCGGUGUUAAUCAGGAUCGCCCGUUCUACAUUGUGUGGCGCUGCUGCAGUGUCUCCUAAUUAUUUGUUUCUCUGUCCACGUGGGUCAAAUCAUGGUGCCCCUCUAAAACCUCCAAAAAAAAAAAAAACAAAGUUUAUUCUCUAUUUUGCAACUUGCCAUCUCUACAUAAGUGCAGAAGAGUUAACAUCGUGAAAGAUCAGAGCCCGGAGAAUAGGCUCUCCUGGAUAUUUCAGGCUAAAGGCAACUUUCUUUUACAAAAGGAUCUGAGGAGCAGGAACAAAGAACGCAGGGAGAGAUCCAGGAAGACAUCUGACUGUGUUAAGAGACAACAGUCACAGCCACACGGGGAGCGAGGACACUUGCAGCAAAGUAAAACGACUUCACAACUAUUGCAUCAGAGCUGCCGGUGUGAGAGAGCCUAAGCCUGUCUCAGAGUGCAGGGGACAAGAGGAAAGGAAUGUGUAAGAAUGCUGGUGACUGAGUUAGAAGCAUGUUUCAAAGCUGUCCAUGUCCUUGCCAUCCAGAAGCGGAGCCUGGGAGCUUCCGAAUUUCUCCAGAAUGCGGUUUACAUUCAUCUUCGACAGCAUUCCUAGGAGAGAAUUCAGCAGUGCAGCAUCCUCUCCGAGCUCUAUGAUUUGAUCAGCUUCCACCGCAAGUCCUCCUUCUUCAAGCGGGUGGCCCCCGUGCAGCGUGCGGCCCCCGGCAUCCCGGAGCCUGGCGGGAAGGCCUGCUACCGACUCCUUCUGCAGACGUUUCCUGGCUACAGUCUGUCGCUGGAUCUGCAGGACUUCAGCAAAGGUGUUGGAACUAAAACAUUGCUUCAGUCCCAUUAACCAUGCCUGGUUUGGGCCCUGCUGUCCUGUCUCAUGAGGGUGAAUUCUGAUUCGUUUAGAACAGGGCUCAGCAGACUUUUUCUGUCAAGGGCUUGGGAGUAAGUAUUUCAGGGUCUGCAAACCUCCUGAUCUCUGGUGCAGCUGCUCAGCUCUGCUGUUCAGAUGCCAGAGCAGCCGGACAUUCCACACACCCACAGAGCGUUAUUAACAGCGGUCGCUGGGGCUGGAUUCGGUGUAUGAACUGCAGUUUGUCCCCACAGCCUCCUCACUAUUGACGCCUGCACCAGAGCGUGCAUUUGCGACAAUGGGUGAACCUGCACUGACACGUCAUCAUCACCCAGAGCCCAGACUUGACACUAGGAUUUACACUUGGUGGUGUGCACUCUGUGGGUUUGGACAGAUGUCCAAUGACAUGUAUCCACCGUCACAGCAUCAUACAGAGUAGUCUGUCUUAGUGACCCUAAAAAUGCUCAGUGCUGCACCUCAUUCAUUGCUCCUUCCCCUCUAGCCUCUGACAGCCACUGAUCUUUUAGUCUCUGUGGUUUUCCCUUUACCAGAACACCAUACAGUUGGAAUCAGACAGUUGCGGAACCUUCCCAGAUUGGCUUCUUUCACUUGGUAAUACGCAUUUAAGGUUCCUCCGUGUCUUUCCAUGCCUUGAUAUCUCAUUUCAUUUUAGCACCAAAUAAUAGUCCAUUUUCUGGCUUGACCACAGUUUAUCCAUUCACCUACUGAAGAACAGCUUAGUUGCUUCUGAGUUCUGGUGAUUAUGAAUAAAGCUGCUAUUAACAUCUGUAUGCAGUUUUGUGUGUGGACAUAAGUUUCCAUUUCGUCGAGUAAACACCAAGGAGCACAGUAGCUGGAUCAUAUGUUAGGAGUACGUUUAGUUUUGUAAAAAAUUGCCAGACCAUCUUCCAAAGUAUCUGGGCCAUUUUACAUUCCCACCAGCAAUGCAUGAGAAUUCCUGACGCUCCACGUCCUCACCAGCAUUCGGUGCUGUCAGUGUUCUGUGUUUUGGCAGUUCUGACAGGUGUGCAGUGGUACCUUGCUAUUUCAGUCUGCAUCCCCUUGAUGACAGAUGCUGUGGAGCAUCUAUCCAUAGACUUCUUUGGCAUCUAGAUUUCUUCUUUGAUGAGGUGUGUGUUCAGGCAUUUUGCUCAUUUUUUAAUCAGGUUGUUCAUCCUUCUUGUUGAGUUUAAAGAGAUUUUGGUAUAUUCUGGAUAUCAGCCCUUUAUCAAUGUGUCCCUGCCCUUCACCUGCAGCACCGGAGUUGUCCUUUGGGUCUCAGUGGAGUGUCAGCUCUUCAAAGAGGUUUCCUGUCUUCCCACAGCCUAAAUACUGUCCUUGUAUUUUUCACAUUCAUUGACUCAUUUUGUUCUUUUUAAAUAGCAUUUCCCAUAAUUUGUAAGUACAUUAAAAAAAGGGCAAUGAUUGAACACCACCUCCCCCACCAGGCUGUGUGCCCUGUGAGAGCAGAGGCCCUGUCCCCACUCACCAUUUCCCAUGACAGCACAUGGCACAUGUCCAUGUAAAAGUGUGUAAUGUGGGGCCAAACCUGAUGAGCAGCUAUGAUGACAUAUUUUGGCUACCAUUUAUUGAGUAGACUUUGUUUCUGAUGUUAAUUAUUAAAUCACAUGAAUGAAACUUGUUUGUUUUGAAAAAUAAAACAACAAAGCACACCUCCAUUUGAUUGGUACUUUCUAUUUUGCCUUCUGACCCAGGAGGGGAUGUUCACCACCAUUUUGUGGAGGAGGUUGGGGAGGUAAAGUAAGAGAAUUAGAUCAAAUAAAGUAAAAAUGAUAACUAUCAGUUGGCUUUAUUUUCACUAAGACAUAAAAGUUACUUUAAACCCUAUCUCAGCUGUUGUUCUGUUGUUUUAAACAUUUCUCAUAGAAUUAAAUGGAAGCCCACUAAACCCUGAAAGGGAAAUUGUGUGCUCAGGUCCUGAAAAGUGUUUAUGUCUAUUUCUUGAAAUGCACAUUUUCCCUGCUGGUUACAGAAAGUUGAGGCGGGAACA
Molecule: long non-coding RNA, 4618 nt
Organism: Camelus dromedarius (Arabian camel)
Lineage: Eukaryota; Metazoa; Chordata; Mammalia; Artiodactyla; Camelidae
Exons: 11
Source: RefSeq, a predicted model, not a curated record